This 348-nucleotide ribosomal RNA is filed under the name uncultured Spirotrichea. RNAcentral's name for it is "SSU rRNA". It matches the Rfam family "Eukaryotic small subunit ribosomal RNA", at positions 153 to 510 of the family's 1831-position model. Lineage: Eukaryota; Ciliophora; Spirotrichea. The record is from RNAcentral.
UAAUUCUAGAGCUAAUACAUGCUGGAGUGCCCGACUCACGAAGGGCCGUAUUUAUUAGAUAUCAGCCAAUAAGCAUCUGCUAUUGUGGUGACUCAUAGUAACUUAAUCGGAUCGCAUGGGCUUGCCCCGCGACAAACCAUUCAAGUUUCUGCCCCAUCAUGCUUUCGAUGGUAGUGUAUUGGACUACCAUGGCUUUCACGGGUAACGGAGGAUUAGGGUUCGAUUCCGGAGAGGGAGCCUGAGAAACGGCUACCACUUCCACGGAAGGCAGCAGGCGCGUAAAUUACCCAAUCCUGAUUCAGGGAGGUAGUGACAAGAAAUAAUGGGUCGGGGCUAUGCCCUGAGACU